RNAcentral lists this long non-coding RNA (1487 nucleotides) under Equus asinus (donkey). RNAcentral's name for it is "lncRNA (ENSEASG00005025211.1)". The record is from RNAcentral. Lineage: Eukaryota; Metazoa; Chordata; Mammalia; Perissodactyla; Equidae.
CGCGUGAGAGAAUGUGUGUGUGUCUCUGAGAGCCACAGCAAGGCAAUCUCUUUCUGUAGCACUUUUCUUUCUUUUUUUUGCUGAAGAAGACUGGCCCUGAGCUAACAUCCAUGCUCAUCUUCCUCUACUUUGUAUGUGGGAUGCCUGCCACAGCAUGGCUUGCCAAGCGGUGCCAUGUCCGCACCGGAAUCCAAACCCACCAACCCCGAGCCGCUGAAGUGGAACCUGCAGACUUAACUGCUGCACCACCGGGCGGGCCCCUGUAGCAUUUUUCUUUAGAUUAUUUUCUCCAAAGGAAAAGAAGAGAAAAGGCAACAUCUAGGCCACACCCACUGGUGGGCCUGGAUGUCCCAGCCGUGUCAGGGGCACAGUCUGCAGGUUCUGCCACCUUUUUAAUGGAUCACCUCCAUGUGCCAGGCACCGAGCUCCGUGUUUUCCACGCAUGUGCAUAUUUCAUCUUCACAACUGGUCACGGGAGAUAUUUCCUCAUUUUAUAAAUGAGAAAAUGGAGGCCGGGCAGAGCUGAUGCUACCGUGUGGCGAGCGAGCCUGACCCUCCGUCCGGCUCUGGGAGGCCCAGGCGAUGGCACAGCCAGCUUCCUCUCCAGCACAGAGGCCGAGGACAGGCUGGUUCUUUCUUCCCUUCCCUCUUGCAGGGUUGUGAUCCAGGUCCAAAGAAACUAGGAGGGGUCAGGAAUUCCCGAGUUACAAAAAUGGCUUUGUUUGAAAGAUUUCCCGCCUUUGGAGCAGUUACAGGGCUUGUUCCUUCCUAUGACUGCAGGGGGUUGGACAUCACCAAGGGGGGCUGCUCCCGGUGGCAUUCCCAGGGCUCAAGAGGAGAUGCACAGGCUUGUCCCGGGUGUUGCAAAAGCUGGGAGGAGCGGAGAGGAGGAGGAGAGAAGAAAACUCCAGAAAAAGCUUCAGAAAAGCCCCGCCGGUUUCCUGGGCCCUGAGAGAAUUCCAGCAGCGAGCGGGCGCUGUGGCCACCCCGCCCUGGCGGAGGAGAGGCCGGUGGCAGAGGGGCUGCCCCUGCCCCAAACCCCGCCCCUGGGAGGGGUGUUCAUAGCAGGGGUCCCCCAAUAAUAACGCUGCUGCUGCUGAAUUGUAUCUUGCGUUUGUGGCGUCCUUUGCCAUUUUCAAAAUACUCACCCCCGGUUCUCCCAGCUCUGAAAAUGGGGCAAUCGCAUUGCCUUUGCAGAGUCCGAAGAGUCGUUCGUAAGGAAGCACGGCCUCGCCCGGCGUGAGAAAUCGCCCGGGCAACGACGGCCCCUUAGGAGGCCUCUGCCCACCCCGCCCUCCCGAGUCUGCAGUCUCCGUGGUCGCUGCGGGACUUUCCCCAACACGCCAGCAUGGCAGGAACCAGUUUCCCGGCUGCUGUUCGGCAGUGGUUUGAAAACUCUAAGCUAAGGUGAGGACUGAGAAGCAACCCUUGGUUUUGGCAACGUCAGGGUCAUUGGCCAACAGUUUACCUUGAAAACCUGACUGGAG